RNAcentral lists this non-coding RNA (52 nucleotides) under Trypanosoma brucei brucei. Lineage: Eukaryota; Euglenozoa; Kinetoplastea; Trypanosomatida; Trypanosomatidae. The record is from RNAcentral.
UAUCCAUACACAGAAAAUUAGAUGAGCGUGUAAAAUGAGUAAUUAUUAAUGU